AGUGAUGAUAUUUGUAACUUACGCCCCCUGUGUGCAAUGUCGUAUGAACGUAUUUUAUCGCACUAGUGUGAUAAAGGAUUUGCAAGUGGUUUUAUCGCACUAGUGGGAUAAAAGCCACGUGGUACUGAAGUCACACUAAGAUUAUCUUCGGUAUUUAUUCGAUUUUCUUCAUUGCAUAAAACGUUUGCUGGCAUAUUAUC
Molecule: long non-coding RNA, 200 nt
Organism: Bradysia coprophila
Lineage: Eukaryota; Metazoa; Arthropoda; Insecta; Diptera; Sciaridae
Source: RefSeq, a predicted model, not a curated record